GCUCGCUUCGGCAGCCAUAUACUAAAAUUGGAACAAUACAGAGAAGAUUAGCACAGCCCCUGCACAAGGAUGACACGCAAAUUCAUGAAGCGUUCUAUAUAUUU
RNAcentral lists this small nuclear RNA (104 nucleotides) under Phocoena sinus (vaquita). Lineage: Eukaryota; Metazoa; Chordata; Mammalia; Artiodactyla; Phocoenidae. The record is from RNAcentral.